Molecule: ribosomal RNA, 498 nt
Filed under: uncultured bacterium
Lineage: Bacteria
Description: bacterial SSU rRNA
Rfam family: Archaeal small subunit ribosomal RNA
Source: RNAcentral
AGUGAAUAGAUACCCGGGUAGUCCCAGCUGUAAACGAUGCGCGUUAGGUGUAUCGGUGACCACGAGUCACCGAGGUGCCGAAAGGGAAACCGUGAAACGUGCCGCCUGGGAAGUACGGUCGCAAGGCUGAAACUUAAAGGAAUUGGCAGGGGAGCACCACAACAGGUGGAGCCUGCGGUUUAAUCGGACUCAACGCCGGGAAGCUCACCGGAUAAGACAGCUGAAUGAUAGCCGGGUUGAAGACUCUGCUUGACUAGCUGAGAGGAGGUGCAUGGCCGUCGUCAGUUCGUACUGUGAAGCAUCCUGUUAAGUCAGGCAACGAGCGAGACCCACGCCAACAGUUGCCAGCAUGUCCUCCGGGGAUGGUGGGGACACUGUUGGGACCGCCUCUGCUAAAGAGGAGGAAGGAAUGGGCAACGGUAGGUCAGCAUGCCCCGAAUUAUCCGGGCUACACGCGGGCUACAAUGGUCAGGACAAUGGGUAUCAACACCGAAAGGU